Molecule: small RNA, 64 nt
Filed under: Tumebacillus algifaecis
Lineage: Bacteria; Bacillati; Bacillota; Bacilli; Caryophanales; Alicyclobacillaceae
Description: Bacillaceae-1 RNA
Rfam family: Bacillaceae-1 RNA
Source: Rfam by way of RNAcentral
GACAGAGGUAGCCCCGCUAGGAACGCGACGUCCUGUCGCACGCGGGACGCAUAUAUCCUAUAUG